This is a long non-coding RNA of Lemur catta (Ring-tailed lemur), 2397 nucleotides long. RefSeq lists it as uncharacterized. Lineage: Eukaryota; Metazoa; Chordata; Mammalia; Primates; Lemuridae. The record is from RefSeq and is a predicted model, not a curated record. The transcript is spliced from 3 exons.
ACAGCUAUUGAUAUGGGGAGUGCAGGGUCUGGUGAGGAGCUCCAGAAGCCUGAGGUCACAGAGUAAAUGCUGUUCUGGACUCUGGCCUUGGGCCAUACGGAAGAUGUCAUGUGGUCUGUACAAGUCUCAUUCCAUCAUAGGCAUCGUGACAACGGCUGACACCCGGCAGCUAUGAUGUGCCAGGCAUUGGUCUAAGGGCCUCCCAAGGGCGCACUCCUUCAACCAUCUCGACAACGCUGUGAUGUAGGUGCUAUGAUCAUCCCCAUUUUACAGAUGAGGACUGCGGCACGGAGAGGCUACGUAAUGUGCCCAGGGUCACACAGCUAUCUAGCGGGAGAGCUGGGAUCUGAACCCAGGCAGACUUACUAGUCUAUGCCAUCUGGGCCCUCUAGGGCGGCAAGAGGCCCUGGAUGGACGGGGACGACAUCGCCUCCCUUCCCUCCCGGCCCCCACUUACUCUGCAGCCUUCCCCAGCCGGUGACGUAGCAGGGGUAGUUGUUGCUGAGAAUGGUGCCAGCAGCUGGGAGGCAGGCCAGCUGGAUCUUGUCGCUCAGGGAGACAGCUGAAGCCAAUUUGAGCAGGGCAAUGUCAUACCUGGGUCAGUGAAGAGGCAGAGCACGAAGAAAGAGUUGACUUUCCCCACCCUGUGGGGCUUUGGAGAGCUCUGAGACCCUUGUCAUCUUUCUGUGGACAUGACCCCCAGGCUGCCCUGACAGGCAGGACAGAGGCCUUGUUGGGAGGGGGAAGGCGGAGAGACUGUGCCCUACUCCCCUGACAGCCGUGGGGUCUGCAGCGCCACCCGUGGGUCUCCAAGGCUUGGCACGGAGUAGCUGCACGGUCAGUGAGGGUCUGGGCUGGCCAGGCGGCCAGCAGAGAUAGCUGGCAGGAAACCCAGGUCACUCUAGCAGUCUUUGCUUCUCCUUUCCCAGGUCACACCCCCACCCCAGGGACCUUUGGGGCUGGCUCCAUGUCUAACAGUCAGAGCUCCCUCUGCCUCCCUAGAGAGGCAGCAAAGGAGGGGGUGGGGUUGAGCCCACUGCCUCUUUGAGACUCCUGGCUGUUUCCUUGCCAACCUAACCCUCCAAGUGCACCCAGACGUACCCGUUGGCCACCUUGUUGGAGUUCCACUUCUCAUGCACCACUCUCUUGGACACCUGGACGGCCACAGAGCCCGACUCCUCAGUGGAGAGGCUUUGCCGGCCCAGCACCACGCGAACUUAUUGUAAAUUAAGUGGGAGAAAGGAACCACCCGCAGCAAGGAGUGCCACUGACCCAGCAGAACCUCGGAAUCUCCGGUGAUGGUAUUGAAGCUUGGAGAAGUUAUUUAAGUUGUUCGAGGGAACCCAAUUCCAUAUCUAGAGGACACAUCUACAACCCCGGAGGGCAAGGAUGGUAUCAUCCCCUCUGCAUCCUCCCUCAGUGCCUGGCACAGGUCCCUGAGACUAUGCCACGUAUGGACCCAUGGACGGACUAACAGACAGAAGCCUAGAUGGACCGAAGCUUGUGCGUUGGCCAACAGGUGGUCAUUUGCACAGCCUGGGCGUGGCAGUUACCUGAUGCAGUGGGCGGCUGUCAGGACCCAGUUAUUGGCCACCAGGGACCCUCCGCAGGUGUGGUACCACUUGCCACUGGAGCUGUACUGCAGGGAGGCCUGUAGAGAAGCACAGGCACGCUGGUGGCUGGAAGGUCCAGGCCACGCUGCUGUCCAGUGUCCCCAGAACAGGGCUGGGACCCCGUAAGGCAGUGAGGCACUCAUAGGUGCAAAACUUAAGGGGGUGCCAAAAAACUCAGCCAUCAAGAUAAAAAACAUUUUAAUGCUAUUUAAAAAAUCAAAAUGAGCACAAAAAUUCAGGAUAAACAAAAUAUCAAAAACUUAAAUAGACAAUUAAAACAUAAUUGUUCUGAACAUCUUUCUGUAGGUUGAUUUGUUGAGACCUUCUCCUUCUUGGGAGCUAUUUCUUAGCUCCCUCCAAUUUAAUGCGACUAAAAGCAAACUCUCGGAUUCCGCCCCCAACCCUGUUCUUUCCGCAGGCUUCCCCGACUCAGUACAUGGCACCUCUUCUUACUGCUCAGGCCACACACUUUGGCGUCAUCCUUUGCUCUUCUCUUACUCUCUUAUCCCGCAUGCAAAUCCAUCUGCAAAUGCCGUCAGCUCUACUUUCAGAACACGUGGAGUGACCGCUACCCUGGCACCACCUGAGCGGCUCGCCCCAGCCACUGUCAUCUCUCGUCUAGUGUCCUGUUUUCCCCACUCCCCCUUGUCCAUUUUCCACCACAGCGGCCAGAAUGAUCCUUUUCAAUGUAAGUCUGGGGCCGGGAGUGAUAGCUCACGCCUGUAAUCCCAGUGCUUUGGGAGGCCGAGGGAAGAGGAUCGCUUGAGGCCAGGAGUUUAAGACC